CCUACGGGGGGCUGCAGUGGGGAAUAUUGGACAAUGGGGGCAACCCUGAUCCAGCCAUGCCGCGUGUGUGAAGAAGGCCCUCGGGUUGUAAAGCACUUUCAGUGAGGAAGAACGCCUGGUGGUUAAUACCCAUCAGGAAAGACAUCACUCACAGAAGAAGCACCGGCUAACUCCGUGCCAGCAGCCGCGGUAAUACGGAGGGUGCGAGCGUUAAUCGGAAUUACUGGGCGUAAAGCGCGCGUAGGUGGCUUGAUAAGCCGGUUGUGAAAGCCCCGGGCUCAACCUGGGAACGGCAUCCGGAACUGUCAAGGUAGAGUGCAGGAGAGGAAGGUAGAAUUCCCGGUGUAGCGGUGAAAUGCGUAGAGAUCGGGAGGAAUACCAGUGGCGAAGGCGGCCUUCUGGACUGACACUGACACUGAGGUGCGAAAGCGUGGGUAGCAAACAGGAUUAGAUACCCCUGUAGUC
Molecule: ribosomal RNA, 465 nt
Filed under: Vreelandella stevensii
Lineage: Bacteria; Pseudomonadati; Pseudomonadota; Gammaproteobacteria; Oceanospirillales; Halomonadaceae
Description: partial 16S ribosomal RNA
Rfam family: Bacterial small subunit ribosomal RNA
Source: RNAcentral